CUUAAAGGAAUUGACGGGGCCCGCACAAGCGGUGGAGCAUUGUGGUUUAAUUCGAUGAUACGCGAGGAACCUUACCUGGGCUCAAAUGUAUGUUGACGUAUUCUGAAAGGGAUACUUCUUCGGACAAUAUACAAGGUGCUGCAUGGUUGUCGUCAGCUCGUGCCGUGAGGUGUCGGGUUAAGUCCCAUAACGAGCGCAACCCCUAUUGCCAGUUGCUAACAGGAGAGCUGAGCACUCUGGCGAGACUGCCGCCGACAAGGCGGAGGAAGGUGGGGAUGACGUCAAGUCAUCAUGGCCUUUAUGCCCAGGGCUACACACGUGCUACAAUGGCCGGCACAGACGGCAGCUUAGUGGCGACACUUGGCAAAUCCUCUAAAGCCGGUCCCAGUUCGGAUUGCAGUCUGCAACUCGACUGCAUGAAGCCGGAAUCGCUAGUAAUCGCAGAUCAGCCAAGCUGCGGUGAAUACGUUCCCGGGCCUU
This 480-nucleotide ribosomal RNA is filed under the name uncultured Synergistaceae bacterium. RNAcentral describes it as "bacterial SSU rRNA". It matches the Rfam family "Bacterial small subunit ribosomal RNA", at positions 900 to 1382 of the family's 1533-position model. The record is from RNAcentral. Lineage: Bacteria; Thermotogati; Synergistota; Synergistia; Synergistales; Synergistaceae.